This 76-nucleotide transfer RNA is filed under the name Lentilactobacillus buchneri. Its description in RNAcentral is "tRNA-Lys". It matches the Rfam family "tRNA". Rfam says of the family: Transfer RNA (tRNA) molecules are approximately 80 nucleotides in length. Their secondary structure includes four short double-helical elements and three loops (D, anti-codon, and T loops). Lineage: Bacteria; Bacillati; Bacillota; Bacilli; Lactobacillales; Lactobacillaceae. The record is from RNAcentral. RNAcentral also lists the same sequence under 6 other names.
UGGGCAGUUAGCUCAGUUGGUAGAGCAACGGACUCUUAAUCCGUGGGUCCAGGGUUCGAGCCCCUGACUGCCCAUC